Molecule: ribosomal RNA, 253 nt
Filed under: uncultured bacterium
Lineage: Bacteria
Description: partial 16S ribosomal RNA
Rfam family: Bacterial small subunit ribosomal RNA
Source: RNAcentral
GACAGAGGGUGCAAACGUUGCUCGGAAUCACUGGGCGUAAAGGGCGUGUAGGCGGGCAGGUAAGUCGGGCGUGAAAUCCCUGAGCUCAACUCAGGAACUGCACUCGAAACUACUUGUCUUGAGUACCGGAGAGGAAAGCGGAAUACCUGGUGUAGAGGUGGAAUUCGUAGAUAUUAGGAAGAACACCAGUGGCGAAGGCGGCUCACUGGUCCGGUACUGACGCUUAGGUGCGAAAGCGUGGGGAGCAAACAGG